UGGGGAAUAUUGCACAAUGGGGGAAACCCUGAUGCAGCGACGCCGCGUGAGUGAUGAAGUAUUUCGGUAUGUAAAGCUCUAUCAGCAGGGAAGAUAAUGACGGUACCUGACUAAGAAGCACCGGCUAAAUACGUGCCAGCAGCCGCGGUAAUACGUAUGGUGCAAGCGUUAUCCGGAUUUACUGGGUGUAAAGGGUGCGUAGGUGGCAAGGCAAGUCUGAAGUGAAAAUCCGGGGCUCAACCCCGGAACUGCUUUGGAAACUGUUUAGCUGGAGUACAGGAGAGGUAAGUGGAAUUCCUAGUGUAGCGGUGAAAUGCGUAGAUAUUAGGAGGAACACCAGUGGCGAAGGCGACUUACUGGACUGCUACUGACACUGAGGCACGAAAGCGUGGGGAGCAAACAGG
RNAcentral lists this ribosomal RNA (404 nucleotides) under uncultured Coprococcus sp. Its description in RNAcentral is "bacterial SSU rRNA". It matches the Rfam family "Bacterial small subunit ribosomal RNA", at positions 355 to 776 of the family's 1533-position model. The record is from RNAcentral. Lineage: Bacteria; Bacillati; Bacillota; Clostridia; Lachnospirales; Lachnospiraceae.